GUCACAGGCAGAAUGCUUAGUAUUAGAAACGAAACAUUCAAAGUUUUAAAUGUUCACAAAGCCCAGAUCCCAUAACUUAGAAAUAUGAAUAAGCUUUCUAGUCUCUCUGAUUCUUUAGUGACUUUGUUUGCCCUAAUCCUUAAAAGGGUUGUACGCUUGUUUUUGAAAGUUGGUAGCAUAGAGCGGCUUAUACCCAGAGAAAGAGAUAUAAAAUGGCAGCUGAGGAGCCAGGAACCUUCCUGAGGACCCCAUUAGGGAAACACAGGGGACACUGGAUGACUAACAUAUAGGAGUGUUCUCGCUGCCAUCUUGCAUUGUGGACCUCCCUGCUCAAGUGUUCUCCUUCACCAUGCGGAAUAGCAUCACCACUGCUCGUGGUCACCCAGCAACAGAAACUCUCCCACUGUCACCUUGUAGCACAUAGGUCCUUGCUUUUUGUGACAAUGGCUAUUAAAACUAAAAUGGCGAUAUGACUUCACAGGCAAAAGCUUUAAUUGGAAGUGAGGGAAGAUAAAGAACUCCAUCUUAAGCAGCUGGAAAGGGACACACUCUGAUGAAGAGGAUCAGAUUGGUUCGUGCAUAGGAGAAGGGUCCAGUUAAUAAGUGUUCUCUGACUAGUCACAGUGAUUAAUGGAAUUCCCUGUCUUCAGAGACAGAGCCUGAACAAACCAGAAGUUGCUCUUCCCAGUCUCCUUUGCAGCUUGGCAAAGACAAGAUUCCUGUAAUCAGAUGAACCCUCAGUUAAUACUUUGGAAAGAAAGUUCUUAACAACUUUUCAGCUUCCAUUGACAAG
This is a long non-coding RNA of Heterocephalus glaber (naked mole-rat), 793 nucleotides long. Lineage: Eukaryota; Metazoa; Chordata; Mammalia; Rodentia; Bathyergidae. The record is from Ensembl.